Molecule: ribosomal RNA, 586 nt
Filed under: uncultured bacterium
Lineage: Bacteria
Description: bacterial SSU rRNA
Rfam family: Bacterial small subunit ribosomal RNA
Source: RNAcentral
CUACGGGAGGCAGCAGUGGGGAAUAUUGGACAAUGGGCGCAAGCCUGAUCCAGCAAUGCCGCGUGUGUGAAGAAGGCCUUAGGGUUGUAAAGCACUUUCAGUAGGGAAGAAAUGCGUGUAGCUAAUAACUGCGCGUCUUGACGGUACCUACAGAAGAAGCACCGGCUAACUCCGUGCCAGCAGCCGCGGUAAUACGGAGGGUGCAAGCGUUAAUCGGAAUUACUGGGCGUAAAGCGCGCGUAGGCGGUUAUAUAAGUCGGAUGUGAAAGCCCUGGGCUCAACCUGGGAACUGCAUUCGAUACUGUAUAACUAGAGUUUGGUAGAGGGAAGUGGAAUUCCACAUGUAGCGGUGAAAUGCGUAGAUAUGUGGAGGAACACCAGUGGCGAAGGCGACUUCCUGGACCAAAACUGACGCUGAGGUGCGAAAGCGUGGGUAGCAAACAGGAUUAGAUACCCUGGUAGUCCACGCCGUAAACGAUGUCAACUAGCCGUUGGGAGAAUUUGUCUCUUAGUGGCGCAGCUAACGCGAUAAGUUGACCGCCUGGGGAGUACGGUCGCAAGAUUAAAACUCAAAGGAAUUGACGGA